RNAcentral lists this ribosomal RNA (253 nucleotides) under uncultured bacterium. Its description in RNAcentral is "partial 16S ribosomal RNA". It matches the Rfam family "Bacterial small subunit ribosomal RNA", at positions 524 to 776 of the family's 1533-position model. The record is from RNAcentral.
UACGUAGGGGGCAAGCGUUGUCCGGAAUCAUUGGGCGUAAAGCGCGUGUAGGCGGCUCGUUAAGUCUGCUGUGAAAGUCCAGGGCUCAACCCUGGAAGGCCGGUGGAAACUGUCGGGCUAGAGUCCGGAAGAGGAGAGUGGAAUUCCUGGUGUAGCGGUGAAAUGCGCAGAUAUCCGGAAGAACACCUAUGGCGAAGGCAGCUCGCUGGGACGGUACUGACGCUGAGACGCGAAAGCGUGGGGAGCGAACAGG